UACGGAGGGUGCGAGCGUUGUCCGGAAUCAUUGGGCGUAAAGGGCGCGUAGGUGGCCCGGUCAGCGUGCGGUGAAAGCUCGGGGCUCAACCCCGAGUCGGCCGUGCGAACUGCUGGGCUCGAGCACUGUAGAGGCAGGCGGAAUUCCGGGUGUAGCGGUGGAAUGCGUAGAGAUCCGGAAGAACACCGGUGGCGAAGGCGGCUUCCUGGACCGAUUACUGACGCUGAGGCGCGAAAGCUAGGGGAGCAAACGGG
RNAcentral lists this ribosomal RNA (254 nucleotides) under uncultured bacterium. RNAcentral's name for it is "partial 16S ribosomal RNA". It matches the Rfam family "Bacterial small subunit ribosomal RNA", at positions 524 to 776 of the family's 1533-position model. The record is from RNAcentral.